UACGUAGGCAGCGAGCGUUGUUCGGAAUUACUGGGCGUAAAGAGUGUGUAGGCGGUGCUCUAAGUUCGGUGUGAAAUCUCCCGGCUUAACUGGGAGGGUGCGCCGGAAACUGGAGUGCUCGAGCGUGGGAGAGGAAAGCGGAAUUCCUGGUGUAGCGGUGAAAUGCGCAGAUAUCAGGAAGAACACCCGUGGCGAAGGCGGCUCUCUGGAACGCAACUGACGCUGAGACGCGAAAGCGUGGGGAGCAAACAGG
This 253-nucleotide ribosomal RNA is filed under the name uncultured bacterium. RNAcentral's name for it is "partial 16S ribosomal RNA". It matches the Rfam family "Bacterial small subunit ribosomal RNA", at positions 524 to 776 of the family's 1533-position model. The record is from RNAcentral.